GAUGAACGCUGGCGGCGUGCUUAACACAUGCAAGUCGAACGAAGCACCUUGAUUUGAUUCUUCGGAUGAAGAUCUUGGUGACUGAGUGGCGGACGGGUGAGUAACGCGUGGGUAACCUGCCUCAUACAGGGGGAUAACAGUUAGAAAUGACUGCUAAUACCGCAUAAGACCACAGCACCGCAUGGUGCAGGGGUAAAAACUCCGGUGGUAUGAGAUGGACCCGCGUCUGAUUAGGUAGUUGGUGGGGUAACGGCCUACCAAGCCGACGAUCAGUAGCCGACCUGAGAGGGUGACCGGCCACAUUGGGACUGGGCAACGGCCCAAACCCCUCCGGGGGGCAGAAGGGGGGAAUAUUGCAAAAUGGGGGAACCCCUAAGGCAGCGACCCCGGGGGAGCGAUGAAGUUUUUCGGUAUGUAAAGCUUUAUCAGCAGGGAAAAAAAUGACGGUACCUGACAAAAAACCCCCGGCUAAAUAC
This 476-nucleotide ribosomal RNA is filed under the name uncultured bacterium. Its description in RNAcentral is "partial 16S ribosomal RNA". It matches the Rfam family "Bacterial small subunit ribosomal RNA", at positions 28 to 504 of the family's 1533-position model. The record is from RNAcentral.